RNAcentral lists this long non-coding RNA (280 nucleotides) under Monodelphis domestica (gray short-tailed opossum). RNAcentral's name for it is "lncRNA (ENSMODG00000048229.1)". Lineage: Eukaryota; Metazoa; Chordata; Mammalia; Didelphimorphia; Didelphidae. The record is from RNAcentral.
ACGCUCUCAGAAUGCUAGUCCUUUGGAACAACUAACUAUCACCAACUUUUGAUUAGAGAAAGAAGACAGAGAUCUUAUUCCUUGAAGAAAGCUAAGCAGUUCAAAGGAGAAAUGUGGGGAAAGGAGUACAUUCCAGGCCUGGGGGACCCUGCAAAGGCUCUGAGGCUCACGGAAGGGUGAAAGGAGCAGAACCAGGAGAACCUUAUACACAGAGACUGAUACACUGUGGCAAAUUGAACAUAAUGGACUUCUCUACUAGCAUCAGUGAUCCAGGACAAUU